RNAcentral lists this ribosomal RNA (489 nucleotides) under uncultured bacterium. Its description in RNAcentral is "partial 16S ribosomal RNA". It matches the Rfam family "Bacterial small subunit ribosomal RNA", at positions 28 to 507 of the family's 1533-position model. The record is from RNAcentral.
GACGAACGCUGGCGGCGUGCUUAACACAUGCAAGUCGAACGGAAAGGCCCCCACCUUGGUGGGGGUGCUCGAGUGGCGAACGGGUGAGUAACACGUGGGUGAUCUGCCCUGUACUUCGGGAUAAGCUUGGGAAACUGGGUCUAAUACCGGAUAGGACCAUGGUUUAGUGUCUCAUGGUGGAAAAAUUAUUGUUUUGGUGCAGGAUGAGCUCGCGGCCUAUCAGCUUGUUGGUGGGGUAAUGGCCUACCAAGGCGUCGACGGGUAGCCGGCCUGAGAGGGUGGAGGCCAAAAUUGGGACUGAGAUACGGCCCAGACUCCUACGGGAGGCAGCAGUGGGGAAUAUUGCACAAUGGGCGCAAGCCUGAUGCAGCGACGCCGCGUGGGGGAUGACGGCCUUCGGGUUAUAAACUCCUUUCGUUAGGGACGAAGCCACACCUUUUUUGGGUGUGGUGACGGUACCUUUGUUAAGAAGCACCGGCUAACUACGUG